AUUUAACACAAUUUUAACAAAGCUGUCUUGCUUGUGUCCUCUUCCAAAUGGUAAUAGGAAAACUACAUAGAAGCCAAGAGAAAAAUUUAUAAUAGAACAGGUUAGAGGGCUAAAGGACCGAACCAGAAAAUUGUGAAUUUUGAGGUAUGUUUUCCCCCUGGACCUAAAAUAAUAAAACUUAUACAAGUUGCAGUAAUGAAGUUUGAGAAUUAUCUUCAGUUUUAAUUCUUUUUUCUCACUGCAGUACAGUUUUGUUUUCUGAUAAUAGUGACAUGAUUUGAGAGGUCAGCAGGAAGUUGUUUUAAAUCUUUUUUGUUUUCUCCUUGUUAGUGUGAACAUGAUUCUACUCUCCUUAAUCCUUUUGGGAGAAGAAGAAGGGAGCUGGCAGCACCCAGGGAAUUUCAAGGUGGCAUCAGGGAACUCUUUUUCACCAAAACAAAAGAAGGCAUAAAAAUAUCCUGCCUGUAAGAAGAUGAUGAAUUUGUUACUUUUCCUCAGUAUGAGAUGGUGAAACUGAGGCCCAACCAGCUUAAGUGACUUGCCUUGCUUCACACAGGCAAUGAGAUUCAGAGUUAGAAGAGGAACCCAGAUACUCUAAUGCAUGCUGGUGUUCUGGUAUGGGGCUUAAUAAGAGUUGAGAAAUGGACAAUUGCCCAGAAAAGGGCCAAAAGAUUGCACUGAAUGGUGGAAAAGAACAUGAGGUUGAGGUUCUGGAGGUGCUAAUUGUCCCCUCAUCUCUUCUUCCUGAAUUGAUGAGAAAACCGAAGCUAAGUGAGACAACGUAUACAAAAGUACUUUGA
RNAcentral lists this long non-coding RNA (800 nucleotides) under Monodelphis domestica (gray short-tailed opossum). Its description in RNAcentral is "lncRNA (ENSMODG00000042407.1)". Lineage: Eukaryota; Metazoa; Chordata; Mammalia; Didelphimorphia; Didelphidae. The record is from RNAcentral.